This 511-nucleotide ribosomal RNA is filed under the name uncultured bacterium. RNAcentral's name for it is "bacterial SSU rRNA". It matches the Rfam family "Bacterial small subunit ribosomal RNA", at positions 17 to 518 of the family's 1533-position model. The record is from RNAcentral.
UUCUGGCUCAGGAUGAACGCUAGCUACAGGCUUAACACAUGCAAGUCGCGGGCAGCAUGUUGGUGCUGCAACCGAUGAUGGCGACCGGCGCACGGGUGAGUAACGCGUAUCCAACCUGGCCCAUAGUAGGGUACAGCCCGGCGAAAGUCGGAUUAAUGCCCUAUGUUCUUCGCAGAUGGCAUCUGAUGUGAAGCAAAGGUAUUCCGCUAUGGGAUGGGGAUGCGUCUGAUUAGCUUGCCGGCGGGGUAACGGCCCACCGGGGCGACGAUCAGUAGGGUUCUGAGAGGAAGGUCCCCCACACUGGUACUGAGACACGGACCAGACUCCUACGGGAGGCAGCAGUGAGGAAUAUUGGUCAAUGGGCGGGAGCCUGAACCAGCCAAGUAGCGUGCCAGGAUGACCGGCCCUACGGGUUGUAAACUGUCUUUUAUGCGGGGAUAAAGUUCGCCAUGCGUGGUGUUUUGCAUGUACCGCAUGAAUAAGGACCGGCUAAUUCCGUGCCAGCCGCCGC